GAAAAAUUAAGAAGACUUGCCCAUAUGUAUGUGAUAAGGGCCAUUCACUUGUAUAUGCCAAAUGGUUUCCAAAGAAACUCUGCCUCCAUAAACACAUACUCAUGUACAUAAACAUAUAAAGUCACACACACACACACACACACACACACACUAUCCUAUUGGACUUGGAAUGCUCAUGAAUUUUAUAUUAUUUUUUUCCCAUAAAAUUUGCAAGAUACAAACCCAUAUGACCUCACAGGAGGUCUAGACAAGAAUCUAGAGAUCUCAGGUUGUUUGAAGCCAUUGUCAGGUCACUACUUCAAAUCAGAACAUACAGGCAUUACUUUUAAGUCCUAAAACCUGGGUCUGAUUCUGGCCGCAUCUGUAUCAUGGUUUCUGAGUCAUGUCCCACUGUGUAUCUGCUCUAGAAAACUACAGAAAUGGAGAAUGACUACACUAGAAUCAGGGCAUGUGAAAGAUGGACAUUGGAGAGAUUCUUAGACAGGAGAUGGGUUAUAUUCCAUUUCCUCUAUGAUCUCAUCUGCCUUACAAAUUGUGGAUUCUUAGAACAUUCCAGAGCUCUGACCUCCUUAGGCUGAUUUGGUGGUAGGAGUUAAAGGGUGGACCAUUGUCCAUAUGGUUGAAGUCAUUUGGGUGUCAGAGAGAGAAGGCCACUUCAAUUAAGGUGCUACAUUUAGGAAAACUUAUCCCUAUGAGGUAAAGACUGAGUCUCUUCUCUAGCAUAUUUGGACCAUUAUGACAUGUCCAACACCAAAAUUACUCACUAGUAGCCCAUUGUAAUGUUGCCAUAGUGACUGUCUCCCAUUAUAAUCAGCAAGAUUAAAAAGACAAUAUCUGUGAAGAUCUCUACGGCUGACAAGUGAGUGCCCGUGGGAGAGAGAAGAAGACCUGCUUCCACAAUGUACUGGGAUGGAGGCAGAUCCUGAGCCCAGAGUCAGCUCUAUGAAUGGUGGCAGGCCAGGGCAAUCUGCUCUAUGAAAAUAGGGAUCUUUUCAGUCUUGUCCAUCUCUGUACCAUCAACAGCUAUCACAAUGCUGGUACAAAAAGAAGCAAAAGAAUGGAGGGAAAGCUCCAAUUUGCCUGCAUGGAGUGUGCUUCCUCUUGUUCAGUUGCUCGUGUUGACGUGGAGCAGCCUAGAGACACCAUCCUGGCUUCUUGCAUCAGCCCACCGUGGCUCCUGGCCUCCAGGGACAUUGCCAAGGAAGCUCCCAGAAGAGGACCUGUGGGCAGAUUCGUGGAGCGCAGAUCUCCAGUAGCCAGAGGAAUAACAGUUUCCCACUGUGGGAAGCCAGGGAGAAAGGCCUCUCUCCGGGUGUCACCCAUGGAUUCCUGGCACCUGCAGCCUGUACAGACAUCAUAGCACUUUGGGGUAUUCAGCUGGGCUCUUCGGUUUGUAUCUGUCACAAUUUGGUUCCUGGGAAUAGGAUUCAGGUGCAAGUAACUUCUUUGGAGACGAUCCCAGGGAACCUCAAGGGGGAAUGGGGACAGGGUGGAAAGGCAAUCAAUGAAUGCUGUGUCAUCAAGCCAGUGGUGGGCACCAGGGCUCCCUCCCCUUGGGGAUUGCCCGGAGCCGCUCCAGAAUGUGCACUGCAGAGUUACCCCAGGGAGCCGUCCCGUGCUCUCGUCAAUCAACUGGUUGGGAGCUAUUCCUUGGGCGGUGGCAGCGGGGGAGGCCUUUUUUCUCUGAAACGUGUGCCCUGCUGAACACGUGGGCAGAACAGACCCUGGAUGCCAGAGAAGGAUCCCGGGUGAGGCACAGAGGACGUUGGAAGGUGGGCCAUUGUGAAGCACGUGAGCCUGAGCGAAUGUGCUUCACUUCCCUGGGCAGUAGCUCAGGGGGUUCUGUCUUUUUCUAGAUUGUACAAAAGUCCCCCCCCCCACUUUCCUGUACUCGCUUCCUGAGGUUUCAGUUACCUGCGGUCAAUCGCCAUUCAGAAACAGAGGUUGUAGGCAGCCCAGGUGGCCCAGCGGGUAAGCGCAGCCUUUGGCCCAGGGCCUAAUCCUGGAGACCCGGGAUCAAGUCCUGCAUCGGGGUCCCGGCAUGAAGCCUGCUUCUCCCUCUGCCUGUGUCUCUGCCUCUCUCUCUCUGUGUCUCUCAUGAAUGAAU
Long non-coding RNA from Vulpes vulpes (red fox), 2107 nucleotides. NCBI's taxonomy places the organism in Eukaryota, Metazoa, Chordata, Mammalia, Carnivora, Canidae. The record is from Ensembl.